CCACUAUUCAUUGGUAAAAGAGUAGCCCAAGAGUUGGCGGUGGGUGGGGAUGACUAGCUGCCUUCCCUCCUAGUCUUACUACUGCUAAAUUAGGGUACGGACGUAGCGCAGAUAGCCUCUGUAGCUUUGCGCGAAAUUCAAAAACAAACAAAC
This is a long non-coding RNA of Limulus polyphemus (Atlantic horseshoe crab), 153 nucleotides long. RefSeq lists it as uncharacterized. The transcript has 3 exons. NCBI's taxonomy places the organism in Eukaryota, Metazoa, Arthropoda, Merostomata, Xiphosura, Limulidae. The record is from RefSeq and is a predicted model, not a curated record.